GUGCUUGCUUCGGCAGCACAUAUACUAAAAUUGGAAUGAUACAGAGAAGAAUAACGUAGCCCCUGUGCAAAAAGAAAGAAAGAGAAAGAAAACAUAUGUUA
Molecule: small nuclear RNA, 101 nt
Filed under: Salvator merianae (Argentine black and white tegu)
Lineage: Eukaryota; Metazoa; Chordata; Lepidosauria; Squamata; Teiidae
Source: RNAcentral